This 4012-nucleotide long non-coding RNA is filed under the name Homo sapiens (human). RNAcentral's name for it is "HSALNT0220777". The stretch from base 415 to 466 matches the Rfam family "mir-1302 microRNA precursor family". Lineage: Eukaryota; Metazoa; Chordata; Mammalia; Primates; Hominidae. The record is from RNAcentral.
AGGAAAUAAAUACCAAGAGACCUUUGUAAUCAUUUUGGAAGCUCUGUGAUUUUUCCAUGCUUAUUACCCGUUACCACCCCUGUUCAUGUUCUUGAAAAACCCAUAAAGAGAAGCGAGCACGUAUGCUUAUUUUGAAGGCCAACAAAAGGAAGCCGAAAACUCUGAGAACUCUGGGUAACUCUUCCACUGGGCUUGGGAAGUGGCAUCAAUGAAAAGGGAGUCUGGAGAUUCGAGAAAUUUGGGAAUGGGGAGGGCUGGGUUAAGAGCCAAGCUGGGAGGGAGGGAGGUCAGAGCCCAGGCCUGAGCUGGCAGAAGGCGGGAAUGGAGGCCCCCACAGGAGACCAUCACUCCCCUGUCAUGGUUCCAGACAAAAUACAGGAUGCCCAGGUAAGUUUCAAUUUCAAACAACAGCAAUUUUUGGUAUAAGUAUGUUCCAUGCACUAUUUGGGAUAUACUUAUACUAAGAAAUAAUCUGUUGUUCCUCUGAAAUUCAAAUAUAAUUAGGAAUCCUAUAUUUUUAUUUGCUAACUCUGGCACCCUUGUUCACAUUUUUUUUUGCCAGUCCUUCAAUCUCAUUGCACCACAGUGUGAUCAGGGGCUGCAUCAGUCCCAUACAGGAGAGGAGGAUGGCUCAGAAAGCAGCCAGCUGUAUUUCAAAUGAAUUCCUACCAGAGAUCUGCAGGCCCCAGGACAGAAUCCUUAUCUAGGCAAAGAAGUGCUAUAUGGGAGAAGAAUGCUUCCAACCUUGGAGUCAACUCUUUGACUCACUUCCUAGAUUGGCAAUCCUCAGCAAGUUGUAUGGUACCACUGAUACAGUUUUCUCAUCUGUAAAAUGGAGAAAAUGAUACCUCCUACUUUGCAAACGUUAAAUGGCAUUCCAAGCACAGUGCCAAGAUAAAUUGCUUGACAACAUGAUAGGGAUAGUUUCUACUAUUCUGUUCAUAAGGUACACUUCUUUUUAGGGCACACUACCUUGGGUAAUGCUCAACGAAUGAAAAUCAGUCCCAGUGCUUUCCACUGGAUAUUCUAAGGAGUGUUUUGAACUAAUCUUGUUCCCUUGAAGUUCCUGGAGUUUGUUAGCAGAUGUAAGUAGUAUGGAGUAAGUUCAUACCUCUCAAAAAGCACUAUAAUUUAGGACCUGCUUGGUCAUUUCCCUAAAACAGAGCCAAGAAAGCACCUAACUCCUCACCCCACAUAGACCAGGGAGAGACUCAAAGCAUCACUGAGUCUCAUAGUUGUAACACCUCUAGCAAAGAAGUGCAGACAUUCUUCUGGCUAAAUCUAAAUCUAAGCUGGGAGGGCAUGCAGCCUGCUUCCUCCCUACAUUCCUCUAAUAAACUCAGAUUCCCCAAGAUUAAGUGUGUUGCCAAAGAAUUUCAAGGCACAUAAAGGUGAAGCUUGGCAUUUGCAAAGGAGAAAUUACUGUUAGCUUUACUAAAAAUUUGAUGUUGCUUAAAUCUGUUCAUCUUUAUCUGGACCACUGUGUUACAAAAACACACAAAUUAUCAGAGUUUUAGCUUCAUUUCUUUGGCUCUGAUUUUAGUGGGAACAAAGAGAAGUUCAUCUGGAGAUGGAGAGCAGUCAGCUACAGGCAGGGUGAUGAUGGGAGUCAUCAAGGAUGCUCAGACUUGUGUUCUUGUGUUCCAUCCACAGCAUACUAAGGAAACCAAAGCUGCUGCCAACUUUUCUUCCACUCUCAUGUUAGGAGGGAGUUGACUGAGUGAUCAUCAAAAAUGCAGAAAGAACAGAAGCCCAAUAAUACCAGUACUUUAUUUCUCUCUAGAAGACCAUGUCACAGAGUAGUAGUGUUGCAGAAAAAGACCCCAUGAGGCCUAUUCCUGACUUUGUUCUGUGAGCCCUCAGGAAAACCCCAAUUUCUCAGAGCUCUUCAUCCCUCAUGUGUAAAAGGAGACUCCAAGUAGUCUCCAUUGUGCCUACCACAAUGUUUGUGGUGAGGAUCAAAUGAGAUAAUGUGAAACGUUGAUAUGCCCCAGAACUCCACCCUCAACCCUGCUUUUUUAAUAUGUAGUCUCUGUAUGUCAACUUGUCACCAUUAUGAAUGAUGGGCUGCUAAAUGACUGAUCAAUUGUAUUUCCCACUGCCUAAUGGAUGUUCCAGUAUCUUAUGGCUGGUAAAUUAAAAACUGAACCCAUUCAGAACUGCCUCUCAUGCUCAUGAUGCAUCCAGACUGAGCAAGGGUCUUGAACAGUCCCCCCACACCAAGAGUCCUACAUUUCCCACACCAGAUUUCUCCAGGCUUUCAAGGAACAACAUGGACACUUGUUACCUUAAAGACAUCCAGAAUCUUGGAUAGUGCAGGGGCAUCAUCCAUCAGCUCUUGUAAGUGUGUAGACAGUGCAUCUCUACAUACACCAACCACAACCGGCUCAUUCUCAGCAAGGCUCCUUACAACAACAACCAAAAAACCCCAGAAUCCUGUGAAAGCAAUACCUGGACUUGGAGGAUGGACCUGAAAUUCUGUCUCUUGUUUCAUGAAAAAAAAAAAAAAAAAAUCUCUGGAUUUAAGGACAACCAAUAAAAAAACUGGCAGGUUGAGUAAAACUGCAUGUGUUCUCCUACUCUAAUAUAUUCUAUUCCUUGUGAUGAGGAACAAAGCUGAUGCUGAACACAGAAAUCUCGUAGGUGCUUGGAUUCUGACUCUCUAAGUGGUGUAAGCAGGACUACAUUGAGGAAUGACUGUAAGAUGUAAGAUGAGGCAAGGAUUCUGUUUAAUCCCCUGUGGAAUUCCCAGUAUUGAUGGCAAUGUCAAGAACAUAGUAGGUGGUGAGAAAAUAUUUUUGAACGAAUAAAUGAGGGUAAUGUUUUCAAACUGGACCACUAGGUUCACGAGAACACUGCAGAUUUGAUGUUCACAAAUGUUACAUUCCAUCUUGAGAUUCAUAGCCAGGAUGGUGUUAUUCUCAUGGGCUGUAUAACUUUUUUGCUCACUUGGCAAAUUACUUCUCAAACUCCUACAUAAACUCGUAGUUCUACUGUUGGACAGUUUUCAAGGUUAAAAUUCCCGCAUUGUGGGCCUUGUAGCUUUCAUGUCUUAAUGCUUAUUUUCUGUGUUUUAUGAGGAGCCAUUUCAAAGAUAAUGGUAACCAGUGAUUCUUUGCCUCCUCAGAAGAUAAUUAAGAGCCAACAGACAAAUUGAAUCUUGGCGUUUGAAUUAACAGCAGGAGAUAAAUACAUCCCGAAAUGUUUGAAUGUUAAAUUGUAAGGGUGUUGUUGAAUUGCAAACAGGAACUCAGUUUCAGACAUGUGAAGCUUGUUGGAUGCCAGCUGAUAUUAUUACUAUUUAGAGCUAAAGAAAGAAAAACAAGUUGGAGAUAUAAAUGCUAAAACAUACAGAUAUUGAGAACUAUGAAAUGGAAUGAAAUCCCAGAGACUGUGGCUACACAAGAGAGGAAUUCCAGAAAUUGAGCUUUAAAACACCCAAUAUUUGGAUGUCAGGGAGAUGAGAAGGUACUGACUCAGAGACUGAAGCAGAAUGGCCAGGAGAUGAGGGAAUGUAGUGCACUGGCAGCCAGUGAAGAGAGUUUUACAGUGAGAUAGGAGUGAUCAACUUGUUAGCUAAUGACUCACCAAGGAAGAUAAGAACUGAGAAUUCCCCAUUGGCUCUAUCAACAUGGAGACCACUGAUUAUUUUGAUAAUACAAUUUUAAUGGAGUGGUAGUGUGAAUGCUUGAUUGGAGGGAAUUCAAGAGAGACGGGAGGAGGGAAACUGGAGAUAGAAAGUAUACUCAUGUUGUUUGAGAAACAUGAGGAAUUGGCUGUAAAGGGAAAGAGAGAAGUAGCCAGAGAGGGAAACGAUGUCAGGAGAAAUGCCGAUUUGCCAUCCAGGUUGUCACACACGAAGAGUGGUGGUACAGUAAAAGGUCAGGGCACAGGCUCUCUCUCCCACGUGCUCAUUUUAAACCCUGGCCUCACCUCUUACUACUUGUGUGAACUUGGGCAAGUCCUUUACCCUCUCUGUGGCCUGGUGCUUGGCUUCUUUACCUUCCACAUG